AUCUGUGUUACCUCUUUAGGCAUUCCUUCGAACAUGAAGCAAGAACAGACAACUAUGACAGCCCUUCUACGAGUGAUUAGCCUUAUCGUGAUUAGCGUGGUGGUGAUUAUUAUCCCACCGUGCGGGGCUGCACUUGGACGAGGAAAGGCUUAAAAAUCAAGCCUUAACGAACUAAGACCCCCGCACCGAAAGGUCCGGGGGUUUUUUUAUCACCAAAAAACGCAAAUCAGGAACAGAAAUGAAUAUCAGCAUAAAAUUCUGUUUCUCA
RNAcentral lists this small RNA (268 nucleotides) under Kosakonia cowanii. RNAcentral's name for it is "Soft rot Enterobacteriaceae Rev 39 5'UTR". It matches the Rfam family "Soft rot Enterobacteriaceae Rev 39 5'UTR". From Rfam's summary of the family: From bacteria cultured under starvation conditions. The record is from RNAcentral. Lineage: Bacteria; Pseudomonadati; Pseudomonadota; Gammaproteobacteria; Enterobacterales; Enterobacteriaceae.